UCCGUUGUAGUCUAGUUGGUUAGGAUACUCGGCUCUCACCGAGAGACCCGGGUUCAAUUCCCGCAACGAAA
Transfer RNA from Ipomoea nil (Japanese morning glory), 71 nucleotides. It matches the Rfam family "tRNA". From Rfam's summary of the family: Transfer RNA (tRNA) molecules are approximately 80 nucleotides in length. The record is from Rfam. Lineage: Eukaryota; Viridiplantae; Streptophyta; Magnoliopsida; Solanales; Convolvulaceae.